AUCGCUUCUCUGCCUUUUGGCUAAGAUCAAGUGUAGUACCUGUUCUUAUCAGUUUAAUAUCAACAAGCAGAAAUUUAUUGUUGAUUGACUUGCCUUUUCCAGUAAUCAUCAUUUUGACAAAAGAAAUGACCAGAAGCAUCAAUGGAUUACGAAUGACUAGUUCUAUACACUUUGGGACUAAAUUUUAGCCUAC
Small nuclear RNA from Oryctolagus cuniculus (rabbit), 193 nucleotides. Its record names the gene U2. It matches the Rfam family "U2 spliceosomal RNA". From Rfam's summary of the family: U2 is a small nuclear RNA (snRNA) component of the spliceosome (involved in pre-mRNA splicing). Complementary binding between U2 snRNA (in an area lying towards the 5' end but 3' to hairpin I) and the branchpoint sequence (BPS) of the intron results the bulging out of an unpaired adenosine, on the BPS, which initiates a nucleophilic attack at the intronic 5' splice site, thus starting the first of two transesterification reactions that mediate splicing. The record is from Ensembl. Lineage: Eukaryota; Metazoa; Chordata; Mammalia; Lagomorpha; Leporidae.